GACGAACGCUGGCGGCACGCCUAACACAUGCAAGUCGAACGGACUUAAAAGAGCGUGCUUUUAUAAGUUAGUGGCGGACGGGUGAGUAACACGUGAGCAACCUGCCUCUUAGAGGGGGAUAGCGUCUGGAAACGGUUGUUAAUACCCCAUAAAAUAUAAAUAUCGCAUGAGAUAUAUAUCAACGGAAUUCGCUCAGAGAUGGGCGCGCGUCUGAUUAGAUAGUUGGUGAGGUAACUGCUCACCAAGUCGACGAUCAGUAGCCGGACGGAGAGGUUGAACGGCGAGAUUGGGACUGAGACAAGACCCAGACUCCUACGGGAGGCAGCAGUGGGGAAUAUAGCACCAUGGAGCGGACUCUGCUGCAGCGAGGCCGGGUGGAGGAAGAAGGUUUUCGGAUUGUAAACUCCUUUUAUCGGGGACGAUAAUGACGGUACCUGAAGAAAAAGCACCGGCUAACUACGUG
Molecule: ribosomal RNA, 463 nt
Filed under: uncultured bacterium
Lineage: Bacteria
Description: partial 16S ribosomal RNA
Rfam family: Bacterial small subunit ribosomal RNA
Source: RNAcentral